GUUGAACGCUGGCGGCAUGCCUUACACAUGCAAGUCGAACGGUAAGGCCCUUCGGGGUACACGAGUGGCGAACGGGUGAGUAACACGUGGGUGAUCUGCCCUGCACUUCGGGAUAAGCCUGGGAAACUGGGUCUAAUACCGGAUAGGACCACUGCCUGCAUGGGUGGGGGUGGAAAGCUUUUGCGGUGUGGGAUGGGCCCGCGGCCUAUCAGCUUGUUGGUGGGGUGAUGGCCUACCAAGGCGACGACGGGUAGCCGGCCUGAGAGGGUGACCGGCCACACUGGGACUGAGAUACGGCCCAGACUCCUACGGGAGGCAGCAGUGGGGAAUAUUGCACAAUGGGCGCAAGCCUGAUGCAGCGACGCCGCGUGAGGGAUGACGGCCUUCGGGUUGUAAACCUCUUUCAGCACCGACGAAGCGCAAGUGACGGUAGGUGCAGAAGAAGGACCGGCCUACUACGUGCCAGCCGCCGCGGUAA
This 478-nucleotide ribosomal RNA is filed under the name uncultured bacterium. RNAcentral describes it as "partial 16S ribosomal RNA". It matches the Rfam family "Bacterial small subunit ribosomal RNA", at positions 28 to 523 of the family's 1533-position model. The record is from RNAcentral.